This 271-nucleotide long non-coding RNA is filed under the name Lathyrus oleraceus (garden pea). RNAcentral's name for it is "Pisum sativum (pea) long non-coding RNA (PSAT_LNC035044)". Lineage: Eukaryota; Viridiplantae; Streptophyta; Magnoliopsida; Fabales; Fabaceae. The record is from RNAcentral.
UUACAGCAUGUCAAACUUUUCAAACUAUCUUAGAAUGUUUCUGAUUCUUUGUAGCCUUUGAACUUGUUCAGAACCUUCUGAUUCUAGAACAAUAUCAGUUGCUGGAACUCCAGAAGUAGCGACUUCAGAAGCCUGACUACCUUCGGAGUUUGGAAUAUUCCCAGAAUCUCGAUUACCACCAGAAUCUGAAUCACCAUCAGAAUCUGGAUCACCAAAAAUUGAAUCACCAUCAGAAUCAGAUUCUUCCUCAGAAUCAAUUUCGCCUUCUGAU